UAAGAAAACGUUUUCGGGUGAUCUGACUUUUAGGGGAAAAAACGGUAUUAUAAGUUUGGAAUUUGGAAAAAUACCAAGAAAUAGAAGUUGUAGAUAAUUGAAUUAGCUUUCCAACCAUAGGUCGUGGGUUCUCAGGUGACAUCGGUACAAGGAGAUAUGGACGUUUUAAGGUCGAAUGGUCAGUGGGCUAGGCCCAACUCGGGACCAACCGGGUUAGGCUCAAAAAAAAAAAAGAAUGAAAUUAAGGCCCAACCCAUAGGGUGGCCGGCCAUGGCUAGAAAAAUAAGAAAAAAAAGAUCCAAGCCCAAGUAGAAUUAAUCAUGUGAUAAAUGGAUAAAAUGCCACUUAAUCAUCCAAAAAUCCCAUAGAACCUUCAAGAAAAAUUUAGAAGGAGAAAAACAAAGAAACAAGAGCAAGAACAUAAGGGCCAUACGGCCAAGCUCUUGAAAUUUUGUCCCUUUGAAAUCUUUCUCCAAAAAUUAUUUUCUUGUGGUAUUUUCACUAAUUCAAGGGUCCUUUACAACUUGGUGUAAUUAUUUUGGAAGAAAGAGCACUUGUUUCUUCAAGUUGACAACUUGGUCAAGUGAAGAAGAUUGUAGAAAAAGAUUUUGGCGAACUUGAAACUUGAUUUUGGAGACGUGUAUGAAGCGGAAAAGGUCAGCAGACAGGUGGACGUGAUCCUUAGAAGCUCUACCAGCCGCACUUGACAGCGCUCCAGUUGUUCCGGAGCCUCACUCCAGCGGUACUAUUUUAUGCAUAUACAUUCGGGCUUGGUAGCACCCCGGCCCUUUCUAUGUAUAAGUGUACUAUGUCUAGAGGCUCGUAGACAGAUACGUACAGUCAGUCAGGUACAGAUAUAUGUAUAGUGUUUUGGCAUGUUAAUAUUGUUGUACAAGGUAAUAA
Molecule: long non-coding RNA, 903 nt
Organism: Lycium barbarum (goji berry)
Lineage: Eukaryota; Viridiplantae; Streptophyta; Magnoliopsida; Solanales; Solanaceae
Exons: 3
Source: RefSeq, a predicted model, not a curated record